Molecule: ribosomal RNA, 501 nt
Filed under: uncultured bacterium
Lineage: Bacteria
Description: partial 16S ribosomal RNA
Rfam family: Bacterial small subunit ribosomal RNA
Source: RNAcentral
AUUGAACGCUGGCGGCAGGCUUAACACAUGCAAGUCGAGCGGGGGAAGGUAGCUUGCUACCGGACCUAGCGGCGGACGGGUGAGUAAUGCUUAGGAAUCUGCCUAUUAGUGGGGGACAACAUCUCGAAAGGGAUGCUAAUACCGCAUACGUCCUACGGGAGAAAGCAGGGGAUCUUCGGACCUUGCGCUAAUAGAUGAGCCUAAGUCGGAUUAGCUAGUUGGUGGGGUAAAGGCAUACCAAGGCGACGAUCUGUAGCGGGUCUGAGAGGAUGAUCCGCCAAACUGGGACUGGGCAAGAGGCCAGACUCCUACGGGAGGCAGCAGUGGGGAAUAUUGGACAAUGGGGGGAACCCUGAUCCAGCCAUGCAGCGUGUGUGAAGAAGGCCUUAUGGUUGUAAAGCAAUUUAAGCGAGGAGGAGGCUACUUUAGUUAAUACCUAGAGAUAGUGGACGUUACUCGCAGAAUAAGCACCGGCUAACUCUGUGCCAGCCGCCGCGGUAA